RNAcentral lists this ribosomal RNA (305 nucleotides) under uncultured bacterium. RNAcentral's name for it is "bacterial SSU rRNA". It matches the Rfam family "Bacterial small subunit ribosomal RNA", at positions 337 to 660 of the family's 1533-position model. The record is from RNAcentral.
UCCUACGGGGGGCAGCAGUGGGGAAUAUUGCACAAUGGGGGAAACCCUGAUGCAGCGACGCCGCGUGAGUGAAGAAGUAAUUCGUUAUGUAAAGCUCUAUCAGCAGGGAAGAAAAUGACGGUACCUGAGUAAGAAGCCCCGGCUAACUACGUGCCAGCAGCCGCGGUAAUACGUAGGGGGCAAGCGUUAUCCGGAUUUAUUGGGUUUAAAGGGUGCGUAGGCGGAUCGUUAAGUCAGUGGUCAAAUUGAGGGGCUCAACCCCUUCCCGCCAUUGAAACUGGCGCUCUUGAGUGGAAGAGAAGUAU